CAAUAGCGUAUAUUUAAGUUGCUGCAGUUAAAAAGCUCGUAGUUGGAUUUCGGGUGGGAAUGGCCGGUCCGCCGUUUCGGUGUGCACUUGCUACGCCCACCUUGCUGCCGGGGACGUGCUCUUGAGUUCACGCUCGGGACACGGAGUCGGCGAGGUUACUUUGAGUAAAUUAGAGUGUUCAAAGCAGGCCUACGCUCUGAAUACAUUAGCAUGGAAUAACACGAUAGGACUCUGGCCUAUCUUGUUGGUCUGUAGGACCGGAGUAAUGAUUAAGAGGGACAGUCGGGGGCAUUCGUAUUUCAUUGUCAGAGGUGAAAUUCUUGGAUUUGUUAAAGACAAACUACUGCGAAAGCAUUUGCCAAGGAUGUUUUCAUUGA
This 377-nucleotide ribosomal RNA is filed under the name uncultured eukaryote. Its description in RNAcentral is "partial 18S ribosomal RNA". It matches the Rfam family "Eukaryotic small subunit ribosomal RNA", at positions 592 to 976 of the family's 1831-position model. The record is from RNAcentral.